GAUAGCACUGUCAGCUGUGGUCUUAUUUUGUCUCCACACAGCAGAUAACUUAGCAAAUGCAGAACCAGAGACAACAUUGUCCCACCCAGCUUUUUCACUGCUCGUUCUGAUACUCUGAGAGUACUCCUCAAAUAUGCAUGGCUUUUGUUGGGCUUGGCUUCCCCGCAGGAGUGCUGUCUGCAGGUCUCAGGACUAUUUCCCCAGCUGGCUCAAGCAGUCAAACAAAAGACGCAGGGUCUUACUGUCUGUUUCAUCCGGAAGGACAACUCGAUGAGGACACCAGAUAACUUGUAGAUAAUUGUGCUCCUUCUCAAGAACAGAUGAAAAGUCUCCCUUUUUAUCGCAUCACAAGGAACUGAAAAACAUACGCUCAUUCCAUUGCUGUCAGAAUCAAAUCUCCUUUCUGAAAGGGCCUUCCAGGGCCUUUGCUUAGGCUAGACUUACCUUACAUACUUGGGUUGUUCUGGAGCAAUCAUCACUGCGUGCUUACAGCAUGACUUUGUGUCACCUACACACUCCAGCCCAAUACGGUAUUUAAAUGAAAGUCCAUUGUUCUGACCAGUGGUGUUCUGAUUGCACACGUCUUUGGAUCCAACAGGGAGAAGGACAAUUUUCUGGUGUUUGGAGAUGACCAUUAAUUCAGCCAUCUGCUUUCAGGAGCUCUUCUUGCAGCCAACCUGAAGGACUAUGACUUUUCCCAACAGUUUGAUCCAAUCUGCCACAACAUCCUAGGCGCAUCUACCCAAAGCCACGUCGCAAGGGAAUAGUGGUCCCUGGCUCUGUGGCAUGACUCUUUUCCAGCUUGCAAGACACACUCUUAGCAAUUUUGCUGUCUACUCUGCUUCCUCUAAAAUGUAGACUGAUUCUAGGUAACAAGGACAUAAUUCUGGAUCUAACCUGUUUAUUUGCUAUUUUCCUGAGGAAUAACUGGACAAUUGAACACGUGGGCUUUUGCUGAAAUCCCAUGCCAAUCAUUGCAAAAAUGUUCUUAGGAAAAAGCUAUUCCUUUGUUUCUUCUCAAACAUACUGUGUAUGUACUCACCAUCUAUUUGCCCUUCAGUGGUUGGCAUCCGUCACUAUAUCAGCCCAGCAAAAUACAGGUGGAACUACAGCAGAUGGUGCAUAUCCCUGCAAGCUUAAUCUAACAGAAGUAACAUUAAGGGCACCUUCUUCAGGAAAAGGAGAUUUUUGCUCAAGGAGUAGAAUAUGAAAAUAUCGAGAUACCAAAUGUUAUGAAUCCAGCAAUAACAUAGCUCCCCUGAUAAUGACAAUGGUUUGAAUAUUUUUUAUUUGAGCAGAUCUGCCUGCAUUACCAAUAUCUACAGUGUUGCUUGGUAACUAUUUUCCGAUACCAGGAGACUGAAAAACACUUUUUUCAAAACUAAAUUCCAAUUCUGAUAUUAAGUCUUGCAUUUUAGUGGUUUCAGUCUGUCCUCUGUAUUGCUGUCCAGCUACAGCAAUAUUCUCGGUAACAUUCUUAUGUAGCAUGCACACGUUCUUUACUUUCUUUCCUUGACUAUAUUACAGAAGAUGUCAGACACUGGAAGUAUUUACGUCAAGACCAGAUAUCUUUCAGAAGGAAUGCUGUGCUUCAGGUGUGCUGGGCUCCAGAAAGAGACAAGGAAGAAGUAACUAUGGCUCCAGAAGUGCAAAUACCCUUUCUUUGUGAGUGGCUCUGCCCGUACGAGUAAAUCCCAGCAAAGUCUCUGAGAUAAUUCACGUGCACAAGACUGUGCCGCCCGGGACCGUGACACUCGUGUAUAGCUCAGCUGGAAAGCCUCUUACUCUUCUUUAUGGUAUACAUUUUUAAAGGCUUCCAAACUGUUUAUAUUAAUAAUUGUGAAAGCUGAGGGUCUGAGCAUGCCUGAGUUGUAGUUGUAGCAUAACCCAGAGACAGCAAGGGUUUUUACAAUGACCAAACAAAAAAUCCAGCUUUGUUUUCGGUGUGUGAAUGCUGACCUUAUGAAGUAUAUUGAAAUGAAAGAA
Long non-coding RNA from Grus americana (Whooping crane), 1986 nucleotides. RefSeq lists it as uncharacterized. The transcript has 4 exons. Lineage: Eukaryota; Metazoa; Chordata; Aves; Gruiformes; Gruidae. The record is from RefSeq and is a predicted model, not a curated record.